CAAUGUAGCACUUGCUGUAAUAGACAUAGUGUGAGAGAUUAUGGGAGCACAGUGCAGAGUUUAUGCUUGGGCCCUCCACAAAUAUUUGUAGAUUGAUUGUUGAAUGAAGCCUCUGCACCUGGGAAACAAACUGGAGGGAGCCUCUGCCUUGCCUGGAAGAUUCAGGAAGUCUUCUGGAGCAAUUGAGAUUGAGUGGGUCUUAGGGUGAAGAAAAAAAGAGAAUUACACAGAGGGAGGUCUACACGCAGGCAGAGAGGUAAGAAUGGGUAUGUGUAUUUGGAAAAGGCCAAAAGACUGAGGUGGCUAGGGGAGAGGAUAAAUGAGGCUGAGGAGAAGUAGGAGAGAGCUAAAGAAGCAGGCAUCAAAGGCCUCAAGUGACUUGCUAUGGAGUGUGAAUAUCAGCUCACAGGAAACAGAGUCAAGUGAAGACAGUAAGAUCAAUGACACGGGUCAUGCCUGUGAUUUUGGGGCCAAGAGGAGAUUUUGACUGAACAUCUUGUUCUGCAAUCCCAGGAGCCGUGAGUUUUAGGGAGGUUUUCAAGCACUGGAUUAGCAUCACGGAAGACUAGCUCAUGACUCCUGAAGGAACCUGAUUUGGCCUGCAGUGUUUGAUGGAUCAAAGGCAACAUCAGUAUCACCUGACAGAAGGCCACUGGGUAGAGAGGAAGAACCUGGGAGCAGACAGAAUUAUGUCUGGAUCCUGCCCCUCCCUCCCUGUACGAAUGACCUUGAAUGAAAUCUUCCAGCCUAAUAAAUACCUAUGUUAUGCUCUAUGCCUUCCAGAUGCACAGUGAACAUCAGGACAAGGAGAACUGUGACGAAGGGAGUUGGAGGCCUGUAUUUUAUUAGAGCGGGCCCCAUGAACAGGAUGUAGGCUUGCUGGCUUAAAGGAGUUGUUAGCAAAGGUUUAUUUUAUCACCAGAAUUGCCCCUCCUCCUUUAAAAUAUUUGGGUGCUAAAUAAAAGGAUGUUUGCUUUUCUCAGUUG
Molecule: long non-coding RNA, 986 nt
Organism: Heterocephalus glaber (naked mole-rat)
Lineage: Eukaryota; Metazoa; Chordata; Mammalia; Rodentia; Bathyergidae
Source: RefSeq, a predicted model, not a curated record